RNAcentral lists this unclassified non-coding RNA (3283 nucleotides) under Leishmania donovani. Its description in RNAcentral is "gene:LdHU3.35.5930(CDS-product:mitochondrial_phos phate_transporter_putative)". The record is from RNAcentral. Lineage: Eukaryota; Euglenozoa; Kinetoplastea; Trypanosomatida; Trypanosomatidae.
CUCGCGCACCUCCUGCUUUCUGUCUCUAACGUAACCGCUCUACUUGCCACACUGUUUCCUCUUCGGCUCAUACGACCGCCCUCUAUUCCUCACCGAGUCUCUAUUUCUCGUAACAAUGGCCGCUUCAAACAAGGCUUGGGACGCGCGCUACGUGAACCCCGAUCACCCGCAUGACACCUCUUACUAUAUGAAGUGCAUCGGCGGCGGCAUCCUCGCCUGCGGUACUACCCACACCGCCGUCUGCCCUCUCGAUGUCGUAAAGUGUAACAUGCAGGUGAGCCCCGAGAGGUUCAAGUCUCUCGGCCAGGGCAUUAGCCUGAUCAUGAAGGAGGAGGGCAUCGGUGCCAACGGCCUGAUGAAAGGCUGGCUGCCGACCCUCUGCGGCUACUCUGCCCAGGGUGCCUUCAAGUUCGGUCUCUAUGAGUACUUCAAGGACCUCUACGCGAACAUGGCGGGCCAGGAGAACGCGAAGAAGUACGAGGGCAUCAUCUGGCUUGCCGGCUCCGCAUCUGCGGAGUUCUUUGCUGAUAUGGGUCUGUGCCCGUUCGAGAUGACUAAGGUGAAGGUGCAGACGUCGCCGAAAGGAACCUUCCCAACGGGCAUGCUCGCUGCCAUGGCCUCCAUGCGCGCCGACCCCUCCUCCGGCUUCCCUUACAAGUCACUGGUGCCGCUGUGGGGCCGCCAGAUCCCGUACACAAUGGCGAAGUUCUUCUUCUUUGAGAAGGUUGUGCGCAUGUUCUACCAGUACGUCUUCACGAAACCGAAGGAGCAGUACAACAAGGCCACGCAGCUCUCCAUCACCUUCGCCUCUGGGUAUAUCGCUGGCGUUAUCUGCGCCAUUGUUUCGCACCCCGCGGACACCCUCGUCUCUGCUCGCGGUAAGGCGAGCAACGCUGGCAAGUCGUAUGGCCAGAUCGCGAAGGAGAUGGGCUACAUAAAUGUGUGCAGCAAGGGUCUCGGAACUCGUAUCCUGAUGAUCGGCACGCUGACGGGUCUGCAGUGGUGGAUCUACGACACCUACAAGACCGCCCUCGGCAUGGGCACGAGCGGUGGCAACGCCAAGAAAUGAAAUGGUGGCCUUGUGGAAUGUGAGCCCAGGGAGGGAAUGUAAGGGGGCUGGAAAAUGCGCAGAUGUAGUUAGGUGUAAGCUGCUCGCAUGGCGGUGUGGGACGUCUGUGAGUAAACAAUGAGGUUUGUUGUGAGCUGUGGAGGGAAAGCUGAUCUGCAGGCCAGUGUGUGUGAGAUGGGCUGUAAAAGAAUGGCCCUUUUUGUUGCACAUGGGUCUUCUUUCUCCUCCAUUAGUGACCGCUUCAUGUUGGUUCCAUUCAAUUUUCUCCUUGUACAUAUGUGUGCGUGUCUGAAAUAUUUAACGUGAGAUGUCGACGCGCCCUCUAUUCUGCACUAGAACAAUGGAUCCGUUGAUGUGAUUGCCCUCUCUUGUUCGCCUGCACUUGCUUCUUGUUUUGUUUUUUCCGCUCUUCUCUCUUUUGGCACUUCCACGUGUGAGUAUGCUCAGGUGAGUGCACGCGCGAGUAUCUCUCUGCACGUGUGUGCGAAGGUACGCGACAGAGAAGGGUAAGGGAGAAGACGCGUGCGCGGACGGUCACCAAUGCAUGUCUCACCUGGCCCACCCACCCCUUUCCUUUCUUCUUGGUUUCCUUUGUUCUCCUAACUGGUUGUUACGUAGUGGCUGACCCAUGGAGUAGGUGAGGUUCUUUUUUGUGUGGUUGUUGUUUGUUCUUCUUAAGUGUCUUGUGCUUGAUUUCUUCGUUCGUUGGCUCUAUAAGAGGGAUUUCUAGGGUCGUGAGGCGCAAGCGGGCGAAAGCGAGAAAGGCAUAAAGCAACACAGAGAGCGGGGAAAAGACACGGUGAGAUGUCGUGAUUCGGCGAACGGUCCCAUACAUAAACACGCGCUUAAAAGGGAUGCGGUGGAAGUAGAGGUUUGCAUCGGAAGAAGUGGAUGCACGCACCGGUAUCUUUUGUUCUCCGUUGGCCGCAACCCUUGCCAGGUCUUCCACCGUGGGCCUCAUGUGGUCUCAUGUGGCUUAGCAGAUGCGCCUUGAAGAGGGCGUCUUUGCUUGUCUCUUUCCCACGUAUCGCGCCUCUUUGUGUCCACCUCUGCGCGACCGCGUCGUGUUACCCGUUCACUCUUUCACAUCGCUCACAGUCUGAAUCUCUCUCUCUUCGAUGACUUCUCCGCUGUUGAUUUUUUUUUCGUCACGUUUCCUCUCUUGACGUCCCUCACGGCUGACCAGGAGAGAAACGAACACGCAACAGAAAUAAGGAAAGCACCGCAGCCGGCAGCAGCAGAGGAAGAAGUCGAGCGAGAGACGGGAAACUCACGAAGGAACAGCAAAACAAAAAUGAAGGAAAGUCCCAGAACGAGACGGGGGAAAAAGGAGAGAGACAGAGAGUGAAAGAGCGUCGUUUUUCGCUUGAACUGUGCCGCUGCGCCGCGAAAGAAAAGACACUAGCAAGAAAAAUCUGGCAGAAAAGUAAAAAGUGCGAUGCCCCCCCCCACUCCCUCCACCUUCCCUUUCUUUCUCACGCCCAUUUCUCUGCCCGUUCAGCUGAAGCCUCGUAUCUUUUUUUCUGUUGCUCCAGCACGGCUUGCUUUUUUUUUGGUAGCAUCAGCUGACAGCUUCACAGUGAUCGUGGUAGUGAGUGAAACUAGAGGCGGCAGACAAAACAGCUCGUUUUGUGCGAUGAAGGGCAUGAGAGGUGAGGAUGGCGAGGUCAUUGGUCGCACGGGGUCGCUUUUGUGUAUAGGCUUCUCAUUUUCCUUUUCGCGCCGUUUUUCUUUGUUUUUUUUUUUGGGGGGGGGGUUCGCCUGUGGCACAGGCGAAAAGUCUAUCGUCCUCGCUUUGUUUUCGUUCGUACUGUGUCUUUGCCUUCUUUUCUGCUUGGCGCCCCGCCCCUCUUCGUGCUUGUCGCCGCUGACAAACACUCUUUCUCUCCAUCUCGCUCCUCCGGCUUCCUUGCUUUUUGUUUGUGUUUACAUCCCUUUCUCCCCCUCCCCUCUAGUGACCUCUCUUCACUGUGUUUGUGUAUACGCGAAUGCGUGUGUCUGCGCGUGCUUGUGUGUGCUCUGUCAUUUUUAGGCAUCUCACAUCUUUUUUUCUCCCCCUCCUCUUCGACUGUGAUGCCUACAAGCCAACAAGCAGAAAAGAAACGGUACCGAGUCUUCUCUCGUGUAGCAGAACAUCUUGCUCCUCUCAUCAGGUGUGGGAUCUAAGUUUUUUUUUAAUGAAUAGACCAGAAAAACAAGAGGGAAGCGAACAGG